AAGACUAUACUUUCAGGGAUCAUUUCUAUAGUUUGUUACUAGAGAAGUUUCUCUGAAUGUGUAGAGCACCGAAUACCACGAGGAGGAGACGUAGUGUUCUCUCUUGAGCGUGAAGUUGACUUUUGGUGUUGCUUGGGUGCAAUCGCCAUUUGUCGUUGAUGAUCGUUCUUCUUUCCUCUUCGGAACGUGAGAGAGAGAGAACACUGUCUGAGUGGAU
This 217-nucleotide small nucleolar RNA is filed under the name Aotus nancymaae (Ma's night monkey). Its description in RNAcentral is "ACEA small nucleolar RNA U3 (ENSANAG00000004425.1)". It matches the Rfam family "Small nucleolar RNA U3". Rfam says of the family: Small nucleolar RNAs (snoRNAs) are involved in the processing and modification of rRNA in the nucleolus. There are two main classes of snoRNAs: the box C/D class, and the box H/ACA class. Lineage: Eukaryota; Metazoa; Chordata; Mammalia; Primates; Aotidae. The record is from RNAcentral.